GGAGACGUAGCCGAGUCAUGCCAGGCCGGCGCCGCUUGGGACUCUGGCUGGCUUUUUUGCCCUUUCCUGCUCCAUUGCUCAAAGCGUAGGCGCGUUCAGAAUGAAGGACUAAAAACAAAGUGGGGUAGAAGAGACUUCAAGUGGCAUUAAAGUUUCGAAGAUUAUAUUCAAUGAAACAUGGGUACAAAUAAGAAACAGUAAGUUAAUUUCCCUCUAAAGAAUUCUAAAUUUGAAAUGAACUUAUCAUCUGCCUUUGAAGAUGACUUGCAAAGGAAUGUACAACACAGGACAUGAACUUUAUUAACCAGUAUUGCACAAGUGUAAACUCUGACACCCCACCAUGAUCCAAAUAUGCAAGGAUACGUACUGUAUUUCUGUUCUUAAGCCAUCCAACUCUGUUCUGGUUAUAAGUACUCUUACAUGAAGACCACUUUUUAGCAGAGCUCCUUUGGAAUCUCGGUCUAAGAGGAGCUCUCAAAGUGUAAAUUGCAACAUAGGCAUCAUCUGAUAUCAGCUACAUUCCUGGCAGCUUGUUCAAUAAUAGCAUGAAGAAGUUACACAAGGCUCUCUGCUAGAAGAUGACUGUUUGUUUGUGUCUGGAUGUGAGGUAAUCAUUACUUGUCAAGGUGGAAAGUUCUGCCAUUGGAAAACCAAUCAUUUAUCUCUAACCCUACACUUAGGAAAAAUUUCUCUGUAAUUAUUUAUAUCUACAUCAAUUUCUACAAAAAUUCUGAUGACUAUGCUCAAUUUAUGGAGUAAUAGAAUUUAUCUGUAAGACUAUGUAGUUAAGUAAUUCAUUAGAGCCCUUUUUGGAUACAACUCUACCUUGUAAGAAACCAUCGAAAGACUAGAUAGUAGCUGUAUCGGGCUUUGUGGACCAUACAUUUUCCAUCUCAAAUACUCAGCUCUGUGCUUGUAACAAAGAACAACUGCAGACAGUGUAUGGGUAACUAAGCCUCCCUGUGUCCUGGUAAAACUACUUACAAAAACAGGCCUAGGAUCUGAUUUGGCCACAGGGUGUCUGAGGCAUAUUCUUUUGAACAAUUUUUGUUUGUUAAAUGAUUGGUGAAACAAAUAUAAGAGCUGGAGGUCCUGUCGUGGCACAGCAGAAACGAAUCUGACUAAGGACCGUGAGGUUGGAGGUUCAAUCCCUGCCCUCGCUCAGCGUGUUAGGGAUCUGGCAUUGCUGUGGUCGUGGCUGUGACUGGCACCUGUAGCUCCAAUUAGACUCCUAGCCUGGGAACAUCCAUAUGCCUCGGGUGUGCUCCUAAAAAGAAAAAAAAAAAAUUUCAAGAGCAUAUGUCAUUCAUUUUACAAACAUUAAUUGAGCACAUUAAUGUCCAAAUACUAUGUUGAGGAUACAGAGGAAAAUAAGAGUCAGUGUCUGCCCUCAAAAAAGAGGCAAGGGAGUUCCUGCAUUGUCACUGCUGUGGCACGGGUUCAAUCCCUAGCUCAGGAACUUCUGCUUUCUGGGGACAUGGCAAAAAAAAAAAAAAAAAAAAAAAAAAAAAA
Non-coding RNA from Sus scrofa (pig), 1512 nucleotides. NCBI's taxonomy places the organism in Eukaryota, Metazoa, Chordata, Mammalia, Artiodactyla, Suidae. The record is from RefSeq and is a predicted model, not a curated record.